GACGAACGCUGGCGGCGUGCCUAACACAUGCAAGUCGAACGGAACUGUUUUGAAAGCUUUCUUCGGAAUGAAUUUGAUUUAGUUUAGUGGCGGACGGGUGAGUAACGCGUGAGUAACCUGCCUUCAAGAGGGGAAUAACAUUCUGAAAAGAAUGCUAAUACCGCAUGACAUAUCGGAACCACAUGGUUUUGAUAUCAAAGAUUUUAUCGCUUGAAGAUGGACUCGCGUCCGAUUAGUUAGUUGGUGAGGUAACGGCUCACCAAGACCGCGAUCGGUAGCCGGACUGAUAGGUUGAACGGCCACAUUGGGACUGAGACACGGCCCAGACUCCUACGGGAGGCAGCAGUGGGGGAUAUUGCGCAAUGGGGGCAACCCUGACGCAGCAACGCCGCGUGAAGGAUGAAGGUUUUCGGAUUGUAAACUUCUUUUAUUAAGGACGAAAAAUGACGGUACUUAAUGAAUAAGCUCCGGCUAACUACGUG
RNAcentral lists this ribosomal RNA (482 nucleotides) under uncultured bacterium. RNAcentral's name for it is "partial 16S ribosomal RNA". It matches the Rfam family "Bacterial small subunit ribosomal RNA", at positions 28 to 507 of the family's 1533-position model. The record is from RNAcentral.